NNCGGGCUAGCUCAAUCGGUAGAGCGUGAGACUCUUAAUCUCAAGGUUGCGGGUUCGACCCCCGCGUUCGGCU
Molecule: transfer RNA, 73 nt
Filed under: Penicillium decumbens
Lineage: Eukaryota; Fungi; Ascomycota; Eurotiomycetes; Eurotiales; Aspergillaceae
Rfam family: tRNA
About the family: Transfer RNA (tRNA) molecules are approximately 80 nucleotides in length. Their secondary structure includes four short double-helical elements and three loops (D, anti-codon, and T loops).
Source: Rfam by way of RNAcentral